Molecule: long non-coding RNA, 1016 nt
Organism: Cyprinus carpio (common carp)
Lineage: Eukaryota; Metazoa; Chordata; Actinopteri; Cypriniformes; Cyprinidae
Source: Ensembl
UCUCAACCUGACAUGUUACAAACAUGGUAAAUGAGUACUUUAAUUUUCACAAUAUAUCACAAUUUGUGCACUUUAUGUAUUUUUAUGGUGGCUUAUGUAUGUAAAAAAAAAAAAAAAAAAUUAACAGUCUUAAUCAAAUUUGAAUGAUUUUGGAUCCAAUUUUGCAUAUUUUUCAGAUUAACAAGUAAUAGUUUUCCAGACUUUUACCUGAGCUUCUCUAGUUUACAGUGUGGACUUUGCAGUCAAACACAGAGCUGCCUCACUCAUGAGUCUUGUAGAUCAUUAAUGCUCAGAUCCAGAUCAUUUCACACUGUAAGUCUUUGAGUUGAGAGCUGAAGCAAGAGCAGUGCGGCUUUUCUCAGUGAUUCCACAUUUGUCCAACCUGACACAGAAAUCUAUUAUAAUAUACACUGUUCCGACUUCAUCAAAUAUGCGAUGUUCACAAGUUUCUAUAUAUGAACCUGUGUUUUCAGUCUGCAGUUUGGAUGAUGAAGAACUGCAGACAGCAGCUCUGCUCCCUGAUCUUCGCACUCUCACAGAGCGUCAAAGGUUUCUAUUUGGCAGUCUAGCCAAUCAAAGGCAUUUACUUAUUUCAUACUGCCUUGAAAUACUGCAUUUGGGACUCAUACACCUGUACAGUGAGUAUAUUGAACUGUAUUUAUCAGAUGCUCACAUUCAUCAGCCUUCUGACAGAAGCAUGAGAUCAUCUCAAUUUUCUCAGAUAUACCCAGCAUGUUCAUGCAAAUAAGCUUCUAGUAAAGGUGUGUCAUGAAUAUGCAGAUGCAUUUCCGGAAAGAGUAAUUCAUUAUUUUUAUUUCUUUGCUGGUAGCGGUGUGUAGGUCUAUAAAUCACUUGAAUCAUAUGCAUACCUCAAAAAAAAAAAAAAAAAAGUAUCCAAAAUGGACUAGUUGUUCAGAUUAUAUUUGCCCAACAAAUAUUUUUUUACUAGAUUUUGUAGAUUUUUUACAGCAACUAUUAUUAAUAAAAAUGUAAUAUUUAUUUUAUUAAUUAUAGCA